This 253-nucleotide ribosomal RNA is filed under the name uncultured prokaryote. RNAcentral's name for it is "partial 16S ribosomal RNA". It matches the Rfam family "Bacterial small subunit ribosomal RNA", at positions 525 to 777 of the family's 1533-position model. The record is from RNAcentral.
ACGGAGGGUGCAAGCGUUAUCCGGAUUCACUGGGUUUAAAGGGUGCGUAGGCGGGCAGGUAAGUCCGCGGUGAAAUCCUGGGGCUUAACCCCAGAACUGCCGCUGAUACUAUCUGUCUUGAAUACUGUGGAGGUGGGCGGAAUAUGUCAUGUAGCGGUGAAAUGCUUAGAUAUGACAUAGAACACCUAUUGCGAAGGCAGCUCACUACACAGCCAUUGACGCUGAGGCACGAAAGCGUGGGGAUCAAACAGGA